GAUGAACGCUGGCGGCGUGCCUAAUACAUGCAAGUCGAGCGAACAGAUGAGGAGCUUGCUCCUCUGACGUUAGCGGCGGACGGGUGAGUAACACGUGGAUAACCUACCUAUAAGACUGGGAUAACUUCGGGAAACCGGAGCUAAUACCGGAUAAUAUAUUGAACCGCAUGGUUCAAUAGUGAAAGACGGUUUUGCUGUCACUUAUAGAUGGAUCCGCGCCGCAUUAGCUAGUUGGUAAGGUAACGGCUUACCAAGGCGACGAUGCGUAGCCGACCUGAGAGGGGGCUCGGCCACACUGGAGGUGAGACACGGUCCAGACUCCUACGGGAGGCAGCGGUAGGUAAUCUUCCGCAAUGGCGAAAGCCUGACGGAGCAACGCCGCGUGAGUGAUGAAGGUCUUCGGAUCGUAAAACUCUGUUAUUAGGGAAGAACAAAUGUGUAAGUAACUAUGCACGUCUUGACGGUACCUAAUCAGAAAGCCACGGCUAACUACGUG
This 496-nucleotide ribosomal RNA is filed under the name uncultured bacterium. Its description in RNAcentral is "partial 16S ribosomal RNA". It matches the Rfam family "Bacterial small subunit ribosomal RNA", at positions 28 to 507 of the family's 1533-position model. The record is from RNAcentral.